AGUCAACAUGCCCAGAGGACGUGGAUAACCUCGGGAAACUGAGUCUAAACCGCGAUAAGUGAGGAUUUCUGGAAUGGUUCCUGACUAAAAUCUAUAUGGCCUCUGGAUUGGACUGCGGCCGAUCAGGCUGUUGGUGAGGUAAUGGCCCACCAAACCUGUAACCGGUACGGGCUCUGAGAGGAGGAGCCCGGAGAUGGGCACUGAGACAAGGGCCCAGGCCCUAUGGGGCGCAGCAGGCGCGAAACCUCUGCAAUAGGCGAGAGCCUGACAGGGUUACUCUGAGUGACUUUCGCUAAGAAAGUCUUUUGGCACCUUUAAAAAGGGUGCAGAAUAAGGGGUGGGCAAGUCUGGUGUCAGCCGCCGCGGUAAUACCAGCACCCCGAGUGGUCGGGACGAUUAUUGGGCCUAAAGCAUCCGUAGCCGGUUCUGCAAGUCCCCCGUUAAAUCCAGCUGCUCAACAGAUGGGCCGCGGAGGAUACUACAGAGCUAGGAGGCAGGAGAGGCAAGCGGUACUCAGUGGGUAGGGGUAAAAUCCGUUGAUCCAUUGAAGACCACCAGUGGCGAAGGCGGCUUGCCAGAAUGCGCUCGACGGUGAGGGAUGAAAGCUGGGGGAGCAAACCGGAUUAGAUACCCGGGUAGUCCCAGCCGUAAACGAUGCAGGCUCGGUGAUGGGUUGGCUUCGCGCUAACCCAGUGCCGCAGGGAAGCCGUUAAGUCUGCCGCCUGGGUAGUACGGUCGCAAGACUGAAACUUAA
Molecule: ribosomal RNA, 754 nt
Filed under: uncultured archaeon
Lineage: Archaea
Description: bacterial SSU rRNA
Rfam family: Archaeal small subunit ribosomal RNA
Source: RNAcentral